UGUCGCUCUCUCACCCAGGCUGGAGUGCAGUGGCGCUAUCUUGGCUCACUGCAACAUCUGCUUCCCAGGUUCAAGUGAUUAUCCUGCCUCAGCCUCCCAAGUUGCUGGGAUUACAGGCGUGUGCCACCACGCCUGGCUAAUUUACUAAACUAAUAAAUUACUAAAUUAGUAAGUUACUAGUAAAUUAGUAAUUACUAAAAUAUAAUUUUUAGUAGAGAUGGGAUUUCAUCAUGUUGGCCAGGCUGGUCAUGAACUCCUGACCUCAAUGGAUCCUCCUGCCUCAGCUUCCUGAGUAGCUGGGACCACAGGUGCACACCACCACGCCCAGGUAAUUAAUUUUUAUUUUUUGUAGAGUCGGGGGUCUCCCUAUGUUUCCCAGGCUGGCCUCGAACUCCUGACCUCAAGUGAUCCUCCCACCUCAGCCUCCCCGAGUGCUGGGAUUAAAGACGUGAGCCACGGCACCUGGCCUGAAUUUUCCUCAAAUUCAAAAAAUCCUGAUGAAGGUUUGGCUAAAAUCUUUGGUGAGUUACCCCACUCCCUGUGGAACCUCAGGCUGGAUUUGAAGAGUUGCGUGCAUGGUCCUCAUUGUCUCCCAGGUAACCUGUUCCCGCUGCUGUGAAGGGAAGGCAGGUGCUCUUCCUUGAGGCUAGAAUCUGUCUACGUGUCACAGUCUCAGGAAAUUAAGCAAAACAGAUGAUAAACACCUCAAAAGGACCCUACUGAGCAUCAGUGGAGCAGAGCAGGGCCAUGUGGGACUGCGGCGUCAGAUGCCACCUCACACUAGCUGUGACACACCUGCCUCGCCAGUUUCUGCUCUGAGGCCCCAAAGCCGAGCUGAACCUCCUCCAGGGGUUCUCAGCCCUAACUGAGCAUGAAAACCCCUGGGGCAAUCCUCUUUUUAACAAUUGAGACAUUCCACACACACCCCACAUCAGAUUUUGGGGUGUGGGGAUAGACCUUCACAUUUGUAGUUUUCUAACCCUCCAGGGGACACUAGGCUGAGACUCAUUGGUCUCCACUCUGAACCUUCCACUGAACAUGUGAGAAAAACUAAGGCCCAGGGAAGUCUUUAGCAGAGAGCUGAGACGGAGAAAAGGGUUCUGAACCACAGCUGUCUGCUGAAGGAAGCUGUCCAAAGGCCAGUGAAGUCUCUCCUGAGGGUGCCUGGGCUGUGCAUCAGGAGUGAAGGUUGAGGGUCACCUUAGGUGUGAGAAGGAGCAACUGGGAGAGUGGCGCUGAUGCUUCCCCCCGGGUUAGGAGGCAUUUGGAUCACAGAGCGAUGCCUGUUCAUUCCUGCUUGCAAGGGAGCAGAUCUCUCGACACCCGAUGGGCCUCUAUUCCGUUCCGGCAGCUGUCCGUGUCAGGAGCGCUGGGCUUGCUCCUCCCCACGGGAGCCAUCACAGAGGCCUCGGGCAGUCUGCAUAGACAACUGCCUGGCAGGUGACCAGGAGGGGAUGCAUGAGCAGAUGCAGGUAGCACUCGCAGUCCCCCUAGCUGUGCCCUCAGCACCUGCUGUCUAGGAGGCAGAAGCCUUGUUCUCGGCCUUGCAGGUGACCCCAGUGUCUCUGAAUUCGGCCCCAUAUGUGUAGGAGGGGAGUGAUUGCAUCUGAAGAUGGGAGUCUGGUUGGGGGUUUGGGAAGCUCCCAUCACCCCUCAAGAGUCCACUGACCAGCCCAGCUCACACCAGGUGGGCCUUGGCACUGGAGGCCACGGCUCAACUCUGCAGUUCCCUCUGGGCAGCAUUUCCAGGGACUCGUAGGUCAGCAUGGUCAUCAAGGACAGGUGGUGAGAGCAGCUCCUCAUUGUCCUGGUGACCCCGAUGGUUCAUUUUCUGGUGUCUCUGUGGUGAGCUCCUGUUACAUCAAGCGAGUGGAAACCACCGAGGACCAACAGCCCUGGAAAUGCACUGAGAAUGCAGGAUGAGUGGGCUUUGUGAGGACUGUUUUCUGUGACUUAGCAAGGAAAGCCUGGAAGGGAAAGUAAAACUGCUUCUUCCCAGGGAAGCCAGAAACCUGAGAACUUAAAAGGGAAGGAGAACUUAAUAUAUUUCAAAAAUGUAACCCUUGUGAAUUAGCAACAGCUUUAUAAACAAAGAGAUUUCCGAGCUUAUAGAAUCUAUUCUGCUUUGUUUCUGCCCCCAUGGCUCCUACCCCUGUUUUUGUGGGUACAAUUUUCAUAUAGAACAUUUUUACACAAGCUUCAAAACUCUCUGAGGACAGCUUUCCCCUUUGUGUCUGUCGGGUCCCAGGCAGUCACAUCCCAGGAAGUGCUGGGGUUGGGCUCCUUGCUCCACAUCCUUCUUCAGUGGCACGAAGCGUGGGGUGGAGUGUGUGAGUCAUGUGUGAUCUUGGUGUGGGCUAUGGCUGGUCUGCAGCACCCCUUCAAUGACUGCUUCAAGGGCUUUUCAUGAUGCUUGUAGCUCAUGAGCUAGUGUUUCCUAGAUGCUGUUUCCAGGUGUCUUGCAUGUCACACACUGGCCUACCAGGGCUGGAGUGAGAUCAUGAGCGCCAGAUUGUUGGUGAAGGAAGUUGACAGAGACAUCGAAUGUCGGUGAACAGGAGUGACCUUGGGUCUCAAUAAAUACUGUGGUCAACUGAAUCCAGAACCCACCCUUACCAGCAGGGCCCACUUCUUCCCCAGCAGGCCGAGCUCUUCCCCUCCUGUCUUCCCUGGCCCUUGCUUUGUAGCUCUGUGUGGCUGUGUCAUGUCUGGUUGUAUCUGUAUAUACUUCUGCCUCUCCCGCUAUCUAGAUGGCUCGGGGAGGCACACCACACACCAGGUCACCUUCCUCUCUGAACCCCCAGCACCUCAUACUGUUUCUGUGCAGAGAUAAGGCUGGGUGAAAGCUUGUGUGAAUGAUCUGAAGUCUUCUACUCUAGGCCAGUCUCCAGGAGCAUUAUGAUCUUUAGGAGGGUGGGCUUGGUUCCUCUGUACAAUAAUGGGUCAUAAAACUGAGUGGUCAAGAUCAUCCCGGUGAGGGCAGUCCGUGUGUUGCCAUAGUUGCUGUACCGGUUAAGAAUGCACCUGGCUGCAAUUUCCUGAAAACCUGACGUAUAGUGGCUUAAACAAAGAGUGGUUUAUUUUCCUUCUGUCAUAGCAAUCUGGGGGAGGCCACUGUGGCUUUGGCGCAGGAGGUCGGGAAAGGCCCGCUUCUCUGAUAUCAUUGGGGGCCUCCCCAGUGCUUGUGUGGCAGAAUGACAAGAGGAAGAAGAAGGAGAAUUAUGGCACUGAGUAUCAUGAGAUUUGGGGUCAUAUAUCUUUAGUGGGCGGUGUUUGCUGCCCCAAAUGUCUCAUGCCAUUAAAAUGUUCUGGAAAUGAUUUAGGUAGUUGGAGUUUCCUUCCCAAAGACAAGGCAUUUACAGCAUGAUGUCCAAUAUCCAUUGAGUUUGUGUCAUGCAUUCAUUGUAUUCAUAGUCUGCUUUAGGUACUUAGCAAAAUAUUGCUGAUAUUAACAUGCCUUUGUUUGCUUCACUGGAGAUGAAAUUGUGCUCCAAGUGUUUUCCAAGGUUCCGUAUGACCCAUCAUUUGAUGAAACAAGAACAGCAGUCAGAUCCAUUACAAAGAGAGACACACAAAAAAACUAUGUGAAAAUGAGCUUAGCCCCUGGUGUUGUGUUGGAACUUCAGAUGCUUGCAGACACUUCAUGAAUGCUCUGUGACACUCAGAAUAGGCUAUUCCCAACAGAAGAGCUUGAACAAUGCUGCAUUUGCAUCAGGUUCAAAUGAGCGAGAGGAACAUUUGGCUAAAAUAUUUGGAACCAGCAUUGCUUGGAAUUCUCCUAAACCAGAAUAUUUCCUUGGCAGUGUGGACAAAAUUCCUGAUAAAGAGAUGGGGUUUCACUGUGUUAGCCAGGAUGGUCUCGAUCUCCUGACCUCAUGAUCCGCCCGCCUCGGCCUCCCAAAGUGCUGGGAUUACAGGCGUGAACCACCAUGCCCGGCCCAGAAUGUCCUUUCUUUUCGAAGCGGAGUAAUAUUCCAUUAUCACCUUUCAGAGGAGAAGAAUUUUAAAGAAUCCUGUCUGUUCGACAGGGAUUUAAGAGAGCAGUUAACUACUAUAGAUAAAGAAACACUUCAAGGAGCAGCUAAACCAGAUGCUCACUUUAGGACUAUGCCCUGCGGGCAGCUUCUGCACUUCCUGCAGAGGAACACCAUCAUCGCCGCCGUCUCAGGGGUGGCCAUCCUCAUGGCCAUCGUGCUGUUGCUGCUUGGGUUGGCCUCAUACAUCAGGAAGAAACAGCCAUCAUCUCCUCUGGCAAACACGACAUAUAAUAUUUUUAUAAUGGAUGGAAAGACAUGGUGGCACAAUUCUGAAGAAAAAAAUUUCACAAAACUUGCAAAAAAACAGAAACAGUUGAAGAGCAGCUCCUGUGUCUAAGCCAGGUCGUGGGGCCGUCAAACCAGGACUUGAAACCACAAUGCGAGGACAUUCUCCAUCUGCGCACCACAGGGAGGCAAUUCCAUUUCUGCCCGGGAGGUGUAUUCUACAAAAACGUCUGCUUCCCAUCCCAAUUUGAAUGGACCAAGAAAAACUGCUUUACCAUAGGACACUUGUGGCAAUAUGGCACCGAUGGCUGGCGUCGGUGAACCCGACAGACUAUGGAUUUAUCAUUUAAUAAAGCAUUGAUUCAUUUUUUCAGUCAUUCAUUGAACAGAUAUUAAUAGACCACCUCACAUGCUGACAAUAUCAAAAUACAAUGAGGAAACUAACAGUGACCCAGGCAUGCAUUCUUCCCCGAGCAAGAUCACAGUCCAUGGUGUGAGCACAACCAUACUAAAUAGCUUUUAUGGGAGGUGGGAGUACAGAAAGUAUUAUAUCUGCAAAGAAACUGCUAAGAAUUGUGGGAGCGCCCCAGGAGGUGAUUUCCUGCUUGCGUGACCAGCACAAAGAAAUGGGGUAAUUGAGAGUGUCAUGAAGUGGGGUUAUUUAUUUAUUGAGUC
Molecule: long non-coding RNA, 4937 nt
Filed under: Homo sapiens (human)
Lineage: Eukaryota; Metazoa; Chordata; Mammalia; Primates; Hominidae
Description: HSALNT0036166
Source: RNAcentral